UACGAAGGGGGGCUAGCGUUGUUCGGAUUUACUGGGCGUAAAGCGCACGUAGGGCGGAUUGUUUAAGUCAGGGGGGUGAAAAUCCUGGAGCUCAACUCCAGAACUGCCCUUUGAUACUGGGGUAUCUUGAGUAUGGAAGAGGUAAGUGGAAUUGCGAGUGUAGAGGUGAAAUUCGUAGAUAUUCGCAGGAACACCAGUGGCGAAGGCGGCUUACUGGUCCAUAACUGACGCUG
Molecule: ribosomal RNA, 233 nt
Filed under: uncultured bacterium
Lineage: Bacteria
Description: partial 16S ribosomal RNA
Rfam family: Bacterial small subunit ribosomal RNA
Source: RNAcentral